UACGGAGGAUCCGAGCGUUAUCCGGAUUUAUUGGGUUUAAAGGGUGCGCAGGCGGGGGAUUAAGUCGGCGGUGAAAUUUUGCAGCUCAACUGUAAAAGUGCCUUCGAAACUGGUUUCCUUGAGUGUAGAUGAAGUAGGCGGAAUUUGUGGUGUAGCGGUGAAAUGCUUAGAUAUCACGAGGAACUCCGAUUGCGCAGGCAGCUUACUGGGAUGCAACUGACGCUGAGGCACGAAAGCGUGGGUAUCAAACAGGAUUAGAUACCCGUGUA
RNAcentral lists this ribosomal RNA (269 nucleotides) under uncultured prokaryote. RNAcentral describes it as "partial 16S ribosomal RNA". It matches the Rfam family "Bacterial small subunit ribosomal RNA", at positions 524 to 792 of the family's 1533-position model. The record is from RNAcentral.